UACUCGUGAUGUUUGCCUUAAACUGCAGAAUGUUUGGUUAUGCUCCUUCAAGGAAAAUGGUGUCCCUUCUGUCAUCUGCAAACUGCAUCGACCAUUUUGGCUUCCUGUUAUUGUUCUUGCUCAGGGCAAGCCCUCUGCACCUGCAAAAUAGAAACCCUCAGGCAGAACAAAGGAAGAAAAGAAAAAAGGUGGGCGGGGAGUUUCAGAGAGUGCUCGUGCCAGGCCAAUGUGCUGGGCCAAAAGAAAAAAAAAAGCUGUUCUUGGAGCCCCAGACUCCAUCCUCUAACUCCUCAAGCUGUUAAGACUAUGGCUUUCUGAUUGAGUUCCAGAUGCCUUCCACAGUGCAGACUGCAAAGUGCCCUCAGAUGGAGUUACAGUAGCCCCAUGAUGGAGAUUCUCAUGAAAAUGGAACCACUCACAAAUUCAUUUGCUUAUUAAACACUGUAAAGCCUACAAAAACCUGAAUAGCUUCUAACACCAGCUCAAUUCAAUUCAAUUUAGUUCUUACUCUAACUACCAGGAAGUAAGCCAGACUAAACAUUUUAAGUGCAAUUCUCCCCAAGAUUGCCCUUCAGACACCAGCUGCAAGUUUGGGGACUCAGGCUGACCACACUUCUGACCAACUGGCUACAAAUUUGAGGGUUCCCACCACCUCCCUUGGAUGCGAAAACUAAUUGGGAUGACUCACAGAACUCAUUGAAAUGUAGAAGGAGAUUUGAGACUGAUAGAAUAGAAGACACACAGAGAAAAGAAGGUCAUGUAAAGAUGGAGCAGAGGUUGAAGGGAAACAGCCACAAGCUCAGGAAUUACAGAGCAGUGACCAGCAUCUGGAUGAGACAGGGAAGAAUUCUACCCGAAACCUCCAGAGGAGGGGCGCCCGACAACACCUUGAUUUCAGACUGCUGCCUCCAGAACUGUG
This is a long non-coding RNA of Choloepus didactylus (southern two-toed sloth), 919 nucleotides long. RefSeq lists it as uncharacterized. The transcript has 3 exons. The record is from RefSeq and is a predicted model, not a curated record. Lineage: Eukaryota; Metazoa; Chordata; Mammalia; Pilosa; Megalonychidae.